This 1169-nucleotide long non-coding RNA is filed under the name Callithrix jacchus (white-tufted-ear marmoset). Its description in RNAcentral is "lncRNA (ENSCJAG00000061295.2)". The record is from RNAcentral. Lineage: Eukaryota; Metazoa; Chordata; Mammalia; Primates; Cebidae.
GUGUUUGGUCUGGUCAGCCCUGCCUCAGCGCUGUUGAUGUGCUGUGCCCCAUUGACUUCGGAUGAGGUCUCAUUCUGUCACCAAACUGGAGUGAAGUAGUGGGAUCUUCACUGCAAUUGCAGGCUCAAGCAAUCCUCUCACCUUAGCCUCCUGAGUAGCUGGGACCACGGGCACAUGUCACCAUGCCAAGCUACUUUUUGUAGUUUUUGGGAAGAGACAGGGCUUCACCAUGUUGUCCAGGCUGGUCCUGAACUCUUGAGGUCAAGUGAUCCUUUCACCUGGGGCUCCCAAAGUGCUGGGAUUAGAGAAAAACUGCUGGCACUAACAGAGUUGGUUCACGAGCAUAUUUGUCAAAAACAGCCUCUCAAAUCAAGAUCUUGCUCUCUGGACAUGGAUGAAUCUGGAGAACAUCAUUCUCAGCAAACUGACACAAGAACAGAAAAUGAAAUACCGCAUAUUCUCACUCAUAGAUAUAACCAAUGCCCUGAAGUUAGUUUGUUUUAUUACUGUUCAUAAUUUUUUUUGAGACAGAGUCUCGUCCUGUUGCCAGGCUGGAGUGCAGUGGCGCCAUCGCAACUCACUGCAACCUCCGCCUCCUGGGUUCAAGUGAUUCUCCUGCUUCAGCCUCCCAAGAAGCUGGGACUACAGGCACACUCCACCAUGCCCAGCCAAUUUUUGUAUUUUUAGUAGAGAUGGGGUUUCACCAUGUUGGUCAGUAUGGUGUCAAUCUCCUGACCUCAUGAUCCACCUGCCUCACCCUUACUGUUUAUAAUUUUAUAUUUUAUGAUAUAUGUAUCUGUAAACAAUAUAGUUUUGUGGAUUAAAAGAUAUAUUAAUACUAAAAUACUAUAUCUGUUAUGUACUAAAUUGUAUCUCCCUCCUCCAGAAUUCAUAUGUUGAAGCCCUAAUCCCCAGUAUGACUAUUUUUGGAGAUGGGGCCUUUAAGGGGGUUUUUAAGGUAAGAUGAAGUCAUAGGGUGGGCCCUGAUGCAAUACUACUGAUGUCCUUAUGAGAAGAGGAGAUGAGGGCACACAGAGUGACACCAAGGAUGUGCGCACAGAGAAAAAAGCCAUGCGAGGAGGUGGCCAUCUGCAAGCCAGGGAGAGAGGCCUCAGAACUCAAGCCUGCUGACAUAUUAAUCUUGGAUAUCUAACCUCUAGAAUUGUGAC